CACGCCCUAAACGAUGCGAACUGGAUGUUGGGCUCAACUUGGAGCUCAGUAUCGAAGCUAACGCGUUAAGUUCGCCGCCUGGGGAGUACGGUCGCAAGACUGAAACUCAAAGGAAUUGACGGGGGCCCGCACAAGCGGUGGAGUAUGUGGUUUAAUUCGAUGCAACGCGAAGAACCUUACCUGGCCUUGACAUGUCUGGAAUCCCUGAGAGAUCGGGGAGUGCCUUCGGGAGCCAGAACACAGGUGC
This 247-nucleotide ribosomal RNA is filed under the name uncultured Lysobacteraceae bacterium. RNAcentral describes it as "uncultured Xanthomonadaceae bacterium partial 16S ribosomal RNA". It matches the Rfam family "Bacterial small subunit ribosomal RNA", at positions 796 to 1041 of the family's 1533-position model. The record is from RNAcentral. Lineage: Bacteria; Pseudomonadati; Pseudomonadota; Gammaproteobacteria; Lysobacterales; Lysobacteraceae.